Molecule: ribosomal RNA, 256 nt
Filed under: uncultured bacterium
Lineage: Bacteria
Description: partial 16S ribosomal RNA
Rfam family: Bacterial small subunit ribosomal RNA
Source: RNAcentral
UACGUAGGGUGCGAGCGUUGUCCGGAAUUACUGGGCGUAAAGAGCUCGUAGGUGGUUUGUCGCGUUGUUCGUGAAAACUCACAGCUUAACUGUGGGCGUGCGGGCGAUACGGGGCAGACUGGAGUACUGCAGGGGAGACUGGAAUUCCUGGUGUAGCGGUGAAAUGCGCAGAUAUCAGGAGGAACACCGGUGGCGAAGGCGGGGUCUCUGGGCCGAUACUGACGCUGAGGAGCGAAAGCGUGGGGAGCGAACAGGA